This 1252-nucleotide ribosomal RNA is filed under the name marine metagenome. RNAcentral's name for it is "bacterial LSU rRNA". It matches the Rfam family "Bacterial large subunit ribosomal RNA", at positions 1113 to 2477 of the family's 2925-position model. The record is from RNAcentral.
CAGCCAUCCUUUAAAGAAAGCGUAACAGCUCACUGGUCUAAUUAAGAGAUCCUGCACCGAAAAUGUAACGGGGCUCAAAUCAUUUACCGAAGCUUUGACAAUUACUUUUAGUAAUUGGGUAGCGGAGCGUUCUGUAAGCCUGUGAAGGUGAUGCGUAAGCAUUGCUGGAGGUAUCAGAAGUGCGAAUGCUGACAUGAGUAACGAUAAGAAAUGUGAAAGACAUUUCCGCCGAAAUCCUAAGGUUUCCUGCGUAAAGCUAAUCUGCGCAGGGUUAGUCGGCCCCUAAGGCGAGGGCGAAAGCCGUAGUCGAUGGGAAGCAGGUUAAUAUUCCUGCACCAGCUGGUAGUGACGGAUGAAGUAAAUUGUGAGUUCUUACUGGAUUGAACUUGCAGUGAAUUUGUCCCUGGAAAUAGCUCCAGCAUUAGACCGUACCAAAACCGACACAGGUAGGAGGGUAGAGUAUACCAAGGCGCUUGAGAGAACUAUGUUGAAGGAACUCGGCAAAUUACACUUGUAACUUCGGGAUAAAAGUGACCUGCUAUUGGGCAACCAGUAGGAGGUGGCACAGAAGAGGGGGUAGCGACUGUUUACUAAAAACAUAGCACUAUGCAAAGUCGAAAGACGACGUAUAUGGUGUGACGCCUGCCCGGUGCCGGAAGGUUAAUAGGAGGGGUGCAAGCCCUGAAUUGAAGCCCCGGUGAACGGCGGCCGUAACUAUAACGGUCCUAAGGUAGCGAAAUUCCUUGUCGGGUAAGUUCCGACCUGCACGAAUGGCGUAACGAUUUCCCCACUGUCUCCAACAUAGACUCAGUGAAAUUGAAUUCUCGGUUAAGAUGCCGAGUAACCGUGGUUAGACGGAAAGACCCCGUGCACCUUUACUGCAGCUUUGUAUUGGUAUUAGGGAACAGAUGUGUAGCAUAGGUGGGAGACUUUGAAGGAGUGGCGCUAGCCAUUCUGGAGUCACUAGUGAAAUACCACUCUUCUGUUCCUUGAUGCCUAACCAUACACCGUUAUCCGGUGUUGGGACCAUGCAUGGUGGGCAGUUUGACUGGGGCGGUCGCCUCCCAAAGAGUAACGGAGGCGCGCGAUGGUAGGCUCAGAACGCUUGGAAACCGUUCGUCGAGUGCAAUGGCAUAAGCCUGCCUGACUGCGAGACCCACAAGUCGAGCAGAGACGAAAGUCGGUCAUAGUGAUCCGGUGGCACUUCGUGGAAGGGCCAUCGCUCAACGGAUAAAAGGUACGCCGGGGAUAA